AAAGACUUAGUCCUAACCUUACCGUUAAUUUUUGCUAAAUAUAUACAUGCAAGUAUCCGCGCCCCAGUGUAAAUGCCCUUGACCUCUUAUUAAGAAAAAAGGAGUGGGUAUCAGGCACACCUAGACUGUAGCCCAAGACACCUUGCUCAGCCACACCCCCACGGGUACUCAGCAGUAAUUAACAUUAAGCAAUAAGUGAAAACUUGACUUAGUUAUAGCAACCCUAGGGUUGGUAAAUCUUGUGCCAGCCACCGCGGUCACACAAGAGACCCAAAUUAACUGUAUGCGGCGUAAAGAGUGGUAUCAUGUUAUCAUAAUAACUAAGAUCAAAGUGCAACUAAGCUGUCAUAAGCCAAAGAUGUAUCUAAGACCCCCUAACAGAUGAUCUUAGCAUCUCAGAUUAAUUUAACUCCACGAAAGCUAAGGCACAAACUGGGAUUAGAUACCCCACUAUGCUUAGCCCUAAAUCUUGAUGCUGCCCUAUACCAAAGCAUCCGCCCGAGAACUACGAGCACAAACGCUUAAAACUCUAAGGACUUGGCGGUGCCCUAAACCCACCUAGAGGAGCCUGUUCUAUAAUCGAUAACCCACGUUACACCCGACCGCCUCUUGCCAAAGCAGCCUACAUACCGCCGUCGCCAGCUCACCUUCCCUGAAAGUUCAAUAGUGAGCACAAUAGCCAAACCCGCUAAUAAGACAGGUCGAGGUAUAGCCCACGGGGCGGAAGAAAUGGGCUACAUUUUCUAAAAUAGAAAAUCCACGGAAGGGGGUAUGAAACUGGCCCCCCGAAGGCGGAUUUAGUAGUAAAGAGGGAUAAUACAAGCUCUCUUUAAGCUGGCCCUGGGGCACGUACAUACCGCCCGUCACCCUCCUCAUAAGCUCCAACCCCACAAUACAUAAUACAACUUAUAGCUGAAGAUGAGGUAAGUCGUAACAAGGUAAGUGUACCGGAAGGUGCACUUAGCAUAC
Molecule: ribosomal RNA, 969 nt
Filed under: Tringa stagnatilis
Lineage: Eukaryota; Metazoa; Chordata; Aves; Charadriiformes; Scolopacidae
Description: 12S ribosomal RNA
Rfam family: Bacterial small subunit ribosomal RNA
Source: RNAcentral